Long non-coding RNA from Numida meleagris (helmeted guineafowl), 713 nucleotides. RefSeq lists it as uncharacterized. The record is from RefSeq and is a predicted model, not a curated record. Lineage: Eukaryota; Metazoa; Chordata; Aves; Galliformes; Numididae. The transcript is spliced from 3 exons.
AAGACUUCAAUUUCCUCUACAAGGAGUGCUAGGAAUAGCUUUGUAAUGUAAAUAGGCACUUACGUAUUUUGAACAAGCACCUGCUUCAUCACACUUCCUAAUGAGAGCCUGGACAGAAACGCAGCAAAAGCAAAGGAAGGUGAGCUGAGAAUGAUGUUUUUCCCCAUUAAAAUGCCUCAUUUGGUUCACCCAGGACUGCGAUCCUUUAGCAUUCAAGACAGCCAUCACUGCAGGCAGCAGUACCUAUUUGCAGCAUUAACACCGGGUGUCACUCUCUGAAUGGUGAAACUACUCUUCUGCAUCUAACCUACUACCAAGCCUCCCCGAGCCACUCGUGCUGAGGCUGGCUCUCCCUGGUGAUGCCGGGAUGCUGGAAUUACGAGGUGCCAUGGCUGGCAUGGUGGCUUCACGCUGACAGGCAGCUCAGCACCUCCAUGCUGCUCUCUCACUGCAUUUCCUCAACAAAGCAGGCAGAAAAUACAAUGAAAAAACCUCAUGGGUUGUGAUAAGGACAGGGAGAUCGCUCACCAAUUACUGUCACGGGUGAAGCAGACUCAGCGCAGGGGAUUAAUGUAAUUUGUCGCCUAUUGCUAACAGACUCGAGCAGUGAGAACCGAAAGCAAACUAAAAACACCUUCCUCCCAUUCAGCAUCUCCUACCUCUCCCCCUGAGCAGUGCAGGGGGUGGGGGCUGUGGUCAGACCCCGCUGCUCC